UUACGGUCAUAUCACGUUGAAACAACUGUACUGGUACGAUCACCGAAGUUAAGCAACGUCGUGCCGGGUCAAUAGCUUGCUGGGUGACCACUUGGAAGCACCACGUGC
Acanthosepion pharaonis is the source of this 108-nucleotide non-coding RNA. The record is from the annotation of a GenBank genome assembly. Lineage: Eukaryota; Metazoa; Mollusca; Cephalopoda; Sepiida; Sepiidae.